UUGCAGGCUGCAACCCGCCUGCAUGAAGUUGGAAUUGCUAGUAAUCGCGGAUCAGCAUGCCGCGGUGAAUACGUUCCCUGGCCUUGUACACACCGCCCGUCACACCAUGGGAGCCGGUAAUACCCGAAGUCAGUAGCCUAACCGCAAGGGGGGCGCUGCCGAAGGUAGGAUUGGCGACUGGGGUGAAGUCGUAACAAGGUACC
This 203-nucleotide ribosomal RNA is filed under the name uncultured bacterium. Its description in RNAcentral is "partial 16S ribosomal RNA". It matches the Rfam family "Bacterial small subunit ribosomal RNA", at positions 1298 to 1500 of the family's 1533-position model. The record is from RNAcentral.